UGAGGAAUAUUGGACAAUGGAUGGAAAUCUGAUCCAGCCAUGCCGCGUGCAGGAAGACGGCCCUAUGGGUUGUAAACUGCUUUUGUAUGGGAGCAAUAAGGACUACGUGUAGUCUGAUGAGAGUACCAUACGAAUAAGCAUCGGCUAACUCCGUGCCAGCAGCCGCGGUAAUACGGAGGAUGCGAGCGUUAUCCGGAUUUAUUGGGUUUAAAGGGUGCGUAGGCGGCGAUAUAAGUCAGUGGUGAAAUAUUUCGGCUUAACCGAGAGACUGCCAUUGAUACUGUGUUGCUAGAAUAUGGUUGCUGUGAGUGGAAUGUGUGGUGUAGCGGUGAAAUGCUUAGAUAUCACACAGAAUAUCGAUUGCGAAGGCAGCUCACAAAGCCAUUAUUGACGCUGAGGCACGAAAGUGUGGGGAUCAAACA
This 422-nucleotide ribosomal RNA is filed under the name uncultured bacterium. RNAcentral describes it as "bacterial SSU rRNA". It matches the Rfam family "Bacterial small subunit ribosomal RNA", at positions 355 to 774 of the family's 1533-position model. The record is from RNAcentral.